UACGUAGGGUGCGAGCGUUGUCCGGAAUUAUUGGGCGUAAAGAGCUCGUAGGCGGUUUGUCGCGUCUGCUGUGAAAACUCGGGGCUUAACCCCGGGCCUGCAGUGGGUACGGGCAGACGAGAGUGCGGUAGGGGAGACUGGAAUUCCUGGUGUAGCGGUGAAAUGCGCAGAUAUCAGGAGGAACACCGGUGGCGAAGGCGGGUCUCUGGGCCGUAACUGACGCUGAGGAGCGAAAGCGUGGGGAGCGAACAGG
This 253-nucleotide ribosomal RNA is filed under the name uncultured bacterium. Its description in RNAcentral is "partial 16S ribosomal RNA". It matches the Rfam family "Bacterial small subunit ribosomal RNA", at positions 524 to 776 of the family's 1533-position model. The record is from RNAcentral.